CUAAAUUACAACCUAAAUUUUGUGGCAUACCCCUUGUACAGCAGCAGCAUCCCCAGACAAACGUGAACAGAGCGCACCAACAGAAUUCUUCUCUUCAUCAAACCAACCCAUCUCCUGACGCAGCAUAGCAGCAAAGAAAAUUCUUGAACUAGGAGGAUACCUUGCCAGGUCCAGUGUUGAAGCAACUCAUCUCGUCAUGGGCUCGUCUACAGCUCAACGCACCGUCAAGUUUAUGUGUGCAAUCUCUUCGUGCAAUUAUGUACUGUCUUUGCAGUGGAUAAUAGACUCCCAUGCUGAAGCCAAAUUUUUAUAUUUGACAGAGGAUUUUCGUCGGCGUAGAGAAUAUCUGGUAGACAGUGUGUGGACCAAGGCACCUGGGGACAUGCUAGCCAAAUCCUCUAUGAUAUCUUGACUGAAUUCAGCUAUGCUGUCAGUGUCAUGGGUAUCCUUAUCCUCAGAUGAUGAUAGGUCCUUACUUUCUAAUGAAGAGACCAAUUAUUUUAUAAGCAUCUAAAUUACUCUAGUGCAGAAUACAUGGCAAAUGGAGAAAAUUUAGCAGUUUUUUAAGCUUUGUCUAUACCAGGCAUGUCAAACUGAGGGUCCCCACAAGGGCCAUAUGGGUUACAUUUGUGUUAUCGUUAAGGCCACACAUGAUUAAGUCGUUCAAUAAUAAUUAUUGCAGAAUAUUUUUAUUACUUAGAAACUUUUCUUUAACCUGGAAACAUUACUUAAACAAGUGUGCUUGCAAAAGGCCACAUGUUCGACAUGCCUGGUCUAUACCACACGUAUGUUCAACCUAAUGCAUCCCACACCCACACGAAAGUGAGAAUUGAAGUAAUAAUCACACAGUAAUGACAUUACUUCAAAUAUUUGUAAAUGCUAAAUUGGUUUAAUUAUUGAAUUACAGAACCUGAACCACAUUCAU
This is a non-coding RNA of Procambarus clarkii (red swamp crayfish), 925 nucleotides long. The record is from RefSeq and is a predicted model, not a curated record. NCBI's taxonomy places the organism in Eukaryota, Metazoa, Arthropoda, Malacostraca, Decapoda, Cambaridae.